This 496-nucleotide ribosomal RNA is filed under the name Caccobius meridionalis. RNAcentral's name for it is "partial large subunit ribosomal RNA". It matches the Rfam family "Bacterial large subunit ribosomal RNA", at positions 1857 to 2605 of the family's 2925-position model. The record is from RNAcentral. Lineage: Eukaryota; Metazoa; Arthropoda; Insecta; Coleoptera; Scarabaeidae.
ACCUGCCCUAUGAUAAAGAUUAAAUGGCCGCGAUAUUUUGAUCGUGCAAAGGUAGCAUAAUAAUUAGUUUCUUAAUUAGGAACUGGAAUGAAGGGUCGAACGAAAAAAAUUCUGUCUCAAUUUAAUUUUUAUUAGAAUUUUAUUUUUAAGUUAAAAAGCUUAAAUAAUUUUAAAAGACGAGAAGACCCUAUAGAGUUUUAUAUUUAUAUAUUUUUUUUUUAAUUUAAGAAUUUUUUUAGAAAAAUAAAUAUAAGUAUUUAGUUGGGGUGACUGAAAAAUUAAAAAAACUUUUUUUAAACUUAUAACAUUAAUAUAUGAAAAAUUGAUCCAUAAAUUAUGAUUAAAAGAUUAAAUUACCUUAGGGAUAACAGCGUAAUUUUUUUUAAGAGUUCUUAUCGAAAAAAAAGUUUGCGACCUCGAUGUUGGAUUAAAAUAAACUUUUGGUGUAGAAGCUAAAAUAGUUGGGUCUGUUCGACCUUUAAAAUUUUACAUGAUC